This 1445-nucleotide long non-coding RNA is filed under the name Equus asinus (donkey). Its description in RNAcentral is "lncRNA (ENSEASG00005033074.1)". The record is from RNAcentral. Lineage: Eukaryota; Metazoa; Chordata; Mammalia; Perissodactyla; Equidae.
CGCGCCUGGGCUACGCCUGCGCGAGCGCAUGCGCGCACUCACGCACGCGCCGGCUUCAGCCAGAGAGCCGGCGCCUGCGGCUCGAGUUUACGCGCGUCGGUCACGUGUCGGUCGCCGUCCGCGUUUGAGGCGUUUGCGCCCAGGUCGGCGCGACUACAGUUUGAGAGGCGCUGGCAGGAGGCGCGUUGUUUAAUCCGCUGUCCUCCAUGGAGACAGACACCGCCAAGGCCAAGCACCUGGAUUCCCUAUCUCCUCCCUGCAAGGAGAUCCAGGCUGGUGGGAAAGCUGCUGACCAGCAAGGCCAUAGGCUCCCCCUCCCCUACCUAAAACCCCAAAUAAAACCCUUUUAACUUUUCUGGGAGUUUAGGAUUUCAGCGCUGGCUGCCCUCUCUUCUUGCUCAGCGCUGUGCAAUAAUAAAAUUCCUACUUUCUUCCACUACACCAAGUGUUAGAGAUGAGCUUGCUGCUCGAGUGAGCGAACUGUAGGUUCCAUAUCAAUUUGGUGACCCAGAUGGGACAACGUCCCAGGUGGAUGUCUUGCCUGUGGCACACCGGCUUCUGGCUGAAGGCCUCUCUUGGAAGCUGUCUUGCAGCUGCCUGAGCCCUUUGUCUCAGGGAAAGCCCCAAGCGAGUGGCUGCUGACCAGACGCCGCCGUUUGGCCCACGGCGCUUUUGCUUUGGUGGUGGAAGAAACUAGGUUCAGGGCUUAGGAAGGCAUCUCUUCUAAGUAGCUGGUAGUUUUUGUUUUUGUCUUUGUGUUAACUUUUUCCAACAGCCCGGCCAGAAAUAAUGGGUACCUGGCAGCCCUCUGGGCUCCGUUUGUUUUGAAGUCAAGACGCCCCAGCCAGAUUAUGAGUUGUAGUAAGUUGAAUAGUGGCCCCCAGAAGAUAUGUCCAUGUCCUAACACCUGAAAUCUGUGAAUGUGACCUUAUUUAGAAAAAGGGUCUUUGUGGAUGUAAUUAAGGACCUUGAGAUGAGACACCCUUGGAUUUUUCGAGUGGGCCCUAAGUGCAGUGACAGACGUCUUUAUCAGAGGAGGAGGCGAAGAGGACCAUGUGAAGAGGGAGGAAGAGAAUGGACAUGCAGCCACAAGCCAAGGAGCACUUGGAGCCACCGGCUGCCGGGAGAGCCAAGGAAGAAUUCUCCCCUAGAGCCUUUGCAAGGAGUAUGGCCUGCUGGAGUUCGGACUUCUGGUUUCCAGAACCGCCAGAGAAUAAAUUUCUCUUGUUGUAUACCGCCCCAGUUUUUGGUAACUUGUUACAUCAUCUUCAGGAAACUAAUGUAGCCACUGGAUAAAGUCUGCUUGAUUAGAGAAAGCUGUCUGGCAUAAUUGAUGUGAAAGUACAUUUAAGAAAAUAAUUCAUCCGAAGAAGGUAUUGUUAGUAACAAAAACCAGGUAAGCUGGGUUUGGAGAAGAAAAUUUUGGCAUGUGAAUUCUUCCCUGU